Molecule: ribosomal RNA, 249 nt
Filed under: uncultured bacterium
Lineage: Bacteria
Description: partial small subunit ribosomal RNA
Rfam family: Bacterial small subunit ribosomal RNA
Source: RNAcentral
AGGACGAACGCUGGCGGCGUGCUUAACACAUGCAAGUCGAACGAGGUGCUUCGGCACUUAGUGGCGAACGGGUGAGUAACACGUGAGCAACCUGCCCUUGGCUCUGGGAUAGCCUCCGGAAACGGGGAUUAAUACCGGACAUGACCUUCCCCGGCAUCGGGGUUGGUGGAAAGUUUUUCGGCUAGGGAUGGACUCGCGGCCUAUCAGCUAGUUGGUGAGGUAACGGCCCACCAAGGCGACGACGGGUAG